AUGAUGGCGGUAGUGGUAGUAGUGGUAGUGGUAGUAGUGGUAAUGAUGAUGAUGGUGGUGGUAGUAGUGGCAAUGAUGGUGGUGGUGGUGGUAGUAGGGGUAAUGAUGAUGGUGGUGGUAGUAGUGGUAAUGAUGAUAAUGGUCGUGGUAGUAGUGGUAAUGAUGGCGGUGGUGGUGGUAGUAGUAGUGGUAAUGAUGGUGGUGGUGGUGGUAGUAGUGGCAAUGAUGGUGGUGGUAGUAGUAGUGGUAAUGAUGGUGGUGGUGGCAGUGGUAAUGAUGAUGAUGGUGGUAGUAGUGGUAAUGAUGAUAAUGGUGGUAGUAGUGGUAAUGAUGGUGGUGGUGGUACUAGUGGUAAUGAUGAUGAUGGUGGUAGUAGUGGUAAUGAUGAUGGUGGUAGUAGUAGUGGUAAUGGCGAUGGCGGUGGUAGUGGUAAUGAUGACAGUGGUAGUAGUGGUAAUGAUGAUGGUGGUGGUAGUAGUGGUAAUGAUGGUGGUGGUGGUAUUAGUGGUAAUAAUGAUGCUGGUGGUAGUAGUGCUAAUGAUGGUGGUGUAGUAGUGGUAAUGAUGGUGGUGGUGGUGGUAGUAGUGGUAAUGAUGAUGGUGGUAGUAGUAGUGGUAAUGAUGGUGGUGGUGGCAGUGGUAAUGAUGAUGAUGGUGGUAGUAGUGGUAAUGAUGAAAAUGGUGGUAGUAGUGGUAAUAAUGGUGGUGGUGAUGGUAGUAGGAGUGGUAAUGAUGAUGGUGGUGGUGGUAGUAGUGGUAAUGAUGGUGGUGGUGGUAGUACUGGUAAUGAAGAUGGUGGUAGUAGUGGUAAUGAUGACGGUGGUAGUAGUGCUAAUGAUGAUGGUGGUAGUGGUAGUAGUGGUAGUGGUAGUAGUGGUAAUGAUGAUGAUGGUGGUGGUAGUAGUGGCAAUGAUGGUGGUGGUGGUGGUAGUAGGGGUAAUGAUGAUGGUGGUGGUAGUAGUGGUAAUGAUGAUAAUGGUCGUGGUAGUAGUGGUAAUGAUGGUGGUGGUGGUGGUAGUAGUAGUGGUAAUGAUGGUGGUGGUGGUGGUAGUAGUGGUAAUGAUGAUGGUGGUAGUAGUAGUGGUAAUGAUGGUGGUGGUGGCAGUGGUAAUGAUGAUGAUGGUGGUAGUAGUGGUAAUGAUGAUGGUGGUGGUAGUAGUGGUAAUGAUGGUGGUGGUGGUAUUAGUGGUAAUAAUGAUGAUGGUGGUAGUAGUGGUAAUGAUGGUGGUGGUAGUAGUAGUGGUAAUGAUGAUGACGGUGGUAGUAGUGGUAAUGAUGGUGGUGGUGGUAGUGGUAAUGAUGACGGUGGUAGUAGUAGUGGUAAUGAUGAUGAUGGUGGUAGUAGUGGUAAUGAUGCUGUUGGUAGUAGUGGUAAUGAUGCUGUUGGUAGUAGUGGUAAUGAUGGUGGUGGUAGUAGUGGUAAUGAUGGCGGUGGUAGUAGUAGUGGUAAUGAUGGUGGUGGUGGUGGUAGUAGUGGGAAUGAUGAAGGGGGUGGUGCUGGUAGUAGUGGUAAUGAUGAUGAUGAUGGUGGUGGUAGUAGUGGUAAUGAUGGUGGUGGUGUUGGUAGUAGUGGCAAUGAUGAUGAUGGUGGUAGUAGUAGUGGUAAUGAUGAUGGUGGUGGUAGUAGUGGUAAUGAUGUUAAUGGUGGUGGUAGUAGUGGUAAUGAUGGUGGCGGUGGUGGUAGUAGUAGUGGUAAUGACGGUGGUGGUGAUGGUGGUGGUGGUGGUGGUAAUGAUGAUGAUGAUGGUGGUAGUAGUAGUGGUAAUAAUGGUGGUGGUGGUAGUAGUGGUAAUGAUGAUGGUGGUAGUAGUGGUAAUGAUGACGGUGGUGGUGGUAGUGGUAAUGAUGACGGUGGUAGUAGUAGUGGUAAUGAUGAUGAUAGUGGUAGUAGUGGUAAUGAUGCUGUUGGUAGUAGUGGUAAUGAUGGUGGUGGUAGUAGUGGUAAUGAUGACGGUGGUAGUAGUAGUGGUAAUGAUGGUGGUGGUGGUGGUAGUAGUGGUAAUGAU
Molecule: long non-coding RNA, 2005 nt
Organism: Oncorhynchus tshawytscha (Chinook salmon)
Lineage: Eukaryota; Metazoa; Chordata; Actinopteri; Salmoniformes; Salmonidae
Source: Ensembl